RNAcentral lists this ribosomal RNA (253 nucleotides) under uncultured bacterium. Its description in RNAcentral is "partial 16S ribosomal RNA". It matches the Rfam family "Bacterial small subunit ribosomal RNA", at positions 524 to 776 of the family's 1533-position model. The record is from RNAcentral.
CACGUAGGGCGCAAGCGUUGUCCGGAAUUAUUGGGCGUAAAGAGCUCGUAGGCGGUCUGUUGCGUCCGCUGUGAAAACUCGGGGCUUAACCCCGAGCCUGCAGUGGAUACGGGCAGACUAGAGGUAGGUAGGGGAGAAUGGAAUUCCCGGUGUAGCGGUGAAAUGCGUAGAUAUCUGGAGGAACACCGGUGGCGAAGGCGGCGUCCUGGACCAACACUGACACUGAUGAGCGAAAGCCAGGGGAGCAAACGGG